Molecule: ribosomal RNA, 384 nt
Filed under: uncultured bacterium
Lineage: Bacteria
Description: bacterial SSU rRNA
Rfam family: Bacterial small subunit ribosomal RNA
Source: RNAcentral
AUUGAACGCUGGCGGCAUGCUUUACACAUGCAAGUCGAACGGUAACAGGCCUUCGGGUGCUGACGAGUGGCGAACGGGUGAGUAAUGCAUCGGAACGUGCCCAAUCGUGGGGGAUAGCGUAGCGAAAGUUACGCUAAUACCGCAUAAGCCCUGAGGGGGAAAGCAGGGGAUCGCAAGACCUUGCGCGAAUGGAGCGGCCGAUGUCAGAUUAGCUAGUUGGUGGGGUAAAGGCCUACCAAGGCGACGAUCUGUAGCGGGUCCGAGAGGAUGAUCCGCCACACUGGGACUGAGACACGGCCCAGACUCCUACGGGAGGCAGCAGUGGGGAAUUUUGGACAAUGGGCGGCAAGACCUGAUCCAGCCAUGCCGCGUGCGGGACGAAGG